GUGAGAGUUCAUCCAAGUACAACCCAAUCUUCCUACAUCCAUCAUUGUUUUGCUACAAGGUGUACAGCCUGCUACUGGGAAGGGGGCGUGAUGUCAGAACUGAGCUGAUUCUUGCACCCAGCUGAUCCCACUCACUCAUCACACACCUGAACCUGCUGUGCCAAUCACCAGCAGCAUUUAGGAGCAGCCCUGACGUCUUGCCCCUGCCCCAUAGUUAGUCACGUUUGGCCUGGGAGCAUUAGAGCAAAAGUUCAAGAUUGAUUGUCCCAAUCUGAAAAAGCAACUUGCUUCAUUACAGCGGUCUACACCAGCGGUUCCCAACUCCAGGAACCAUUGGUUUACACAAUCCCCACAAGGUUAAGUGAAUGUGCUGAACAUGGAUUCCACUCCGCAAGAAUAAAACCUGAGCGUGACUCAGUACUGUUGAAAUAAAAUAAAGUUGACUGGGAGAGCAAAAUUGCAUGCAAUGCGGAGCUGCAGAUAUGUCUGUCUGAGGGAUCCAAGAAUUCACAGCAACGGAAGAACCGUACCCAGACAUCAAGAAACAGCAGACAGCAAAACUCUAAGGAGCAGGAACGUGACUGUGUCUACGCUACAUGCUCAGUACACGUGUGUAUGUAAUUU
This is a long non-coding RNA of Esox lucius (northern pike), 624 nucleotides long. Lineage: Eukaryota; Metazoa; Chordata; Actinopteri; Esociformes; Esocidae. The record is from Ensembl.